UUCGCGAGUCAAUCCCGAGCUCCUGACGCCGCAACCAAAAUGGCCUCGUCGCUGUCCUCCUCCGGCGCCGGCGGCCGGCCGCAUCGACGGAACCCUAGCCUGCGUACGGGCUCGGCGCCUGCGGCGGCGUCUUUGAUCCCCAUGCUCCCGGACGGCAUCACGGCCGUCAUCCUCUACCUGCUGACCUCCCCCGACCUGCUGCGCAACCUCCCGCGCUCGGCGCAUGGUCCUCUCCGCGGCCACGCUGCUCCCGCUCCGCCGCAGCCUCCGGCCGACACUUUUUCUGCCUCUUCCGCAACGAACCCUCCCUUGCCUCCCCGACCCUGCCGCCCCCACUGUCUGGUGCCCUGGUGACCCCUCCCGCCGCUCCCCUGCGGUUACGACGGGUACACCACAGUCCGGGGAGUGGUGCCAAAUAACGUGGGAGGGAGGGGAGAGGAAGCGGCUUGGACCCGUUGCAGCUUUAUCUGCGGAUAAUGGAAGGAUUACCGAGGUGUUCAUGCUCGACGGCAACCAUGUCUGCAGGCCCAUUCAUAGCAUGCUAUGUUGACCAUCUGUAGUCACCAUCUUUUGGCUCAAGACUCCUGGUGAAGCCUGAGGUCCAUGGAGGCAGCUGAAGAAGAAGCUGGACCUGGAGUUUCAGAACCGCAGCCUGCCUGGUGAAGAAGCUGGUGAAGCCAGCCUGUGACAAAUAAAUGCAGAGUGCUCACCACACCCAUUGGUUUCAGGACCGCAGCUGUCCGUGCAGUUGGAGACUCCGUUGGAGUCGUAGAUCCAUUGACGCUGACCGUUUAACUGUGUAGAUUCGGGUGGCAAAGCUGAGCAUCCAAUUGAAAAUACAGCCCGCCCAAAAUUUCCUACAACUGCAAGCGACUCGGAGCAGUUAUUAUUUUGUGGAGAUUUGUUGUGUGCCAGCGUGCGUAUACAUGGUCGAAGCAACAUACAUUGGCUGUACAGCACAGGAACGGAGAGCCGCUUUCCUUCUCCUAGAGGCAAGAGAAGAAGAAGGGAAGAGAAGACGAGGUGGAGAGAAGAGACGAAAACAAAAGCUUAAAGAAAAGGGCGUUCGUCGCCAUGAUGGAUCUUGGAUUGUUCUCCGGUCUCGGUCUCCCCGCUUCGCUUGAGGGGGUGUUUGGCAACACCCUGUUAAAGUUUAA
Setaria italica (foxtail millet) is the source of this 1157-nucleotide long non-coding RNA. RefSeq lists it as uncharacterized. The transcript is spliced from 3 exons. NCBI's taxonomy places the organism in Eukaryota, Viridiplantae, Streptophyta, Magnoliopsida, Poales, Poaceae. The record is from RefSeq and is a predicted model, not a curated record.